GCAGUCUGAUCAGCCAUGCCGCGUGCAGGAUGACGGUCCUAUGGAUUGUAAACUGCUUUUGCACAGGAAGAAACACUCCGACGUGUCGGAGCUUGACGGUACUGUGAGAAUAAGGAUCGGCUAACUCCGUGCCAGCAGCCGCGGUAAUACGGAGGAUCCAAGCGUUAUCCGGAAUCAUUGGGUUUAAAGGGUCCGUAGGCGGUCUUGUAAGUCAGUGGUGAAAGCCCAUCGCUCAACGGUGGAACGGCCAUUGAUACUGCAGGACUUGAAUUAUUGGGAAGUAACUAGAAUAUGUAGUGUAGCGGUGAAAUGCUUAGAGAUUACAUGGAAUACCAAUUGCGAAGGCAGGUUACUACCAAUUUAUUGACGCUGAUGGACGAAAGCGUGGGUAGCGAACAGGAUUAGAUACCCUGGUAGUCCACGCCGUAAACGAUGGAUACUAGCUGUUGGGAGCAAUCUCAGUGGCUAAGCGAAAGUGAUAAGUAUCCCACCUGGGGAGUACGAACGCAAGUUUGAAACUCAAAGGAAUUGACGGGGGCCCGCACAAGCGGUGGAGCAUGUGGUUUAAUUCGAUGAUACGCGAGGAACCUUACCAAGGCUUAAAUGCAGACUGACCGAUUUGGAAACAGAUCUUUCGCAAGA
RNAcentral lists this ribosomal RNA (642 nucleotides) under Flavobacterium sp. So2Ps_934. RNAcentral describes it as "bacterial SSU rRNA". It matches the Rfam family "Bacterial small subunit ribosomal RNA", at positions 378 to 1022 of the family's 1533-position model. Lineage: Bacteria; Pseudomonadati; Bacteroidota; Flavobacteriia; Flavobacteriales; Flavobacteriaceae. The record is from RNAcentral.